AGAUUGAACGCUGGCGGCAUGCUUUACACAUGCAAGGUCGAACGGCGAGCACGGGGGGCAACCCUGGUGGCGAGUGGCGAAACGGGUGAGUAAUGCAUCGGAACGUAUCCUUGAGUGGGGGAUAACGCAGCGAAAGUUGUUGCUAAUACCGCAUACGACCGGAGAGGUAGAAAGCGGGGGACCGAAAGGCCUCGCGCAGCAGGAUGAGCCGAUGUCCGAUUAGCUGGUUGGNGGGUAAAGGCCUACCAAGGCGACGAUCGGUAGCUGGUCUGAGGAGGAUGAUCAGCCACACUGGGACUGAGACACGGCCCAGACUCCUACGGGAGGCAGC
Molecule: ribosomal RNA, 331 nt
Filed under: uncultured prokaryote
Description: partial 16S ribosomal RNA
Rfam family: Bacterial small subunit ribosomal RNA
Source: RNAcentral